UGAUUUUGUUUUCGUGUGACUCAAUCGUUUCGGAGUGGCGUUUUUCCUCGUAGCUGUUAAUAGAUUAUUUAUCAUGAAAACCAUCGAUUGCAAAAGGAGAUACAAGGACUCAUUGACUGUGAGAGAAAAUCCCAUAAUGACAUUAUCUUACCCUUGUGUUACCACUAAUUAUUUGACUUAAUAUGCAGAAAUUGCACAACGGAUGCUGCUUUUAUUAUAAGUGACAUGCAUCGUUUCUAAGGACUUCCAUUCAAAUUAAGGCAUAAUUGCAAGAUAUCCCUGUAUAAAUGAAAACCACCAAUGCAACGCUUAGGAAGACCCUAUAUUUUAGAGAUUAAAUGACAUUUUCGAAUUCUGAGCUGUGCAAAAAUCUAAGCUGAUUGAUGUAAAAUUACAUUUAAGCCAAAAUCAUCAACAUUGCAGCAUCGACCAAAGGUCUUUCAGAAUAUUUUCAUCACUAAAGGUCUUUCAGAAUAUUUCUCAAAGGGAUUUUUUUUGCAUCUUAUAAACUGAUUUAGCCCUUUAAUGUUAUUACAUACAUUAACUUUACCAACUACAUCGUUUUGUUAUAUGUCACAUCUACAUAUUUCAAGAAAAGGUUUUGGACCCCUCAUCAAUAUUCACAAGCGCUUGUCAAUGUUUGGAGGUAAAACCCAUAUAUUAGUCCGUCUGUCCAAGGUAUGUGUCCUAUUAACCAUAUUGCGUCGUAAGCAAUCACCUGGGACACUGCGGGUUGCAAGUUCCUUCUGAAGAAUCCCACGCUGGUGCCGAGGAGGUGAGCCUUUGGGUUACCGAUCAGCCGAUUUAAUUUAUUUAUGUUUAAUUUACUUUUAGUUCCCUUUAGGAUUAGUCCGCGAUGUAGUUUAGUUUGUAAUUCAGUUUUGUAUUUUGUAAUCCACUUUUAUAGUUCAGCUUUAAGUUUCGCGUGAAAUUCAGUCUUUAAACUUGGAUUGUAACUGCGAUCUUUAAGAUUAAGUUGUAUUUCAAUUCUCAGAUUAGCUCGUAAUUUAGCUUUAAGAUUGGGGUGUAAUUGAGUUCAUUAAAAUUAGUUGGGAAUUUAGCUUUAGUUUUUUUCUUUUCUCUCGUUCAGACUCAAUCCUGCUCUCGCUUGAUCACCUCCGGCUUGGUUCUCAUUCAAAAGGAAAAAAACGUUUUUCCUUCUUGGGUCAGUUGCCUGCGUUGUCAUUGUUAUCAGACAGAACUUCCUCUGAUGGGCCAAAUGACAAAAAACAACUAUCAUACCAAGAUAUAUUUAUUAACAAAUAGUGGCAGUUGCCCAACAACAAAAUAUAGAGUGCACUAUUUGUUAAAAACAGUGGUUAGUGCAACUCUGAUUUUGUGUAAGUUACUAGUCGCGCCAUUUUUCGUAGUUUGUGUGUGUUAUGGUUUUCAACUAUAAUACACACAUAUAACCAAAACUCGUUGGCAGAUAGUGCACUUCGCGAGAAAAAAUUGUACUCAGCUGUUUACGGUACACUCGGUAUGUUAUGUGUCCUACUAUCAUUCAGACAGGGUUCGUGAUUCAUUCCUAAGGGUUGGUAUUCUAUUCUGCUUUCGAAAUAGCCGGUGAAAUUUUUAAUAAUUUCGCGAGCGGCAUUUGACCGCUAUCAAAUGUGUUUGGUCCCAUACCAAUACACGUUUCUUUAUCUGCACUUAUUGUUUUCUCUAUUUUAUAUAUUUUUUCUCAAUAUAAUCUAAUCCCAAAGGGAACCACUGAAAUCUAUAAAACAAACUAAAAUGAUGCCGACAAUAGUUUCAAGUGUUGCCACUAUAAUAGUUUUUUGCAUUUUGCUCACUUUAAACAGAGUACUACUUUUCCACCCGUUUUCAGUCAAUGUUUCGCCGACGUUUUUUAUUGAAUUUGACAGCAUUCCGCUCGAAAUACUGAACAGAAUACUCUGCUGAAACAGAUUACUUCGUUCGGCAAUUGUCCGGUGCACGCAGAGUAGUGUAAUUGUGUAGACAAGAAAUCUGCGCAAGGGUAUACGCAACGUUUUUCUGUUUUUGUUUUAAAAACAAUGAUUUUUGUUGAUUAAACCCUAAGAAGAUGUACAAAAGUAAUUUAUUUUUUUUUUUUUAUUUUUACUUUUGCAAAACACUAAUCAUUCAGUCCAUAGAAAUUAUUUUUUACGUUAUGAGAGAAUUAAAAAUAAUUAAAGAGAGUAUUCACACAUACUGUCACAUUUACAUUUAGGACAUCGCUGUAUUAAUUUCACAAUAAAUACGAUAUAAGUACAACAUACCAACGUAGGGCCCUAGAAGCCUUCAAACCUAAUAUGGCCAAUGAGUUAUUCUAACCAAAUUACGAAACGCGUCCCAUAGUGGUUGGUGUUUGUGGUGAUCUUUGGUUUUCCUUUUCCAUAGCAAAAAAAAAAUCCGAUUAUUGAGCUCGUCUUAAAAGAGAUACAACGAAAAUUGUAAAAAAUAUAAUUAUUUUUAAGCUAUAUAUUUCAUCCACAAUCAAUCCACAAAUUUCUUAAUUGAACCUAGUUUUUAAUUGUUUCUGUACAGAACAAAGCUAUAUAUGUUCUUAAUCUAAUAAUACCUUUUACUGACGUAUUUUGUAGUAAAAGGUUAUCAGCUGUUUAUUUUCCUUUGUUUUCGUCUUAUUAGUAUGUCAUCCUUUGUGCCGAAGACUCUUGAGAGGUUGAUAGAAACAUAUCUUAGGGCAAAGAAUAUACAAUGGUAGCAUUUCCUGACAUUGAAGGUACCAAAGUCAUUCAUGAAGGAGUUGGAGUUUCUACACAAAAAAAUUAAAAACAUGGUUCAAUAAACAAAUUUUUUCAUUUAAUUAAAAAAUUCACUGAAAUCGGACCUAUAAAGGAAUUUAUAUUAUUGAUUAAAGAUUUUAUAAUUUGAAUUUAUGACAUGUUCAAAAAUCUAAUUAAAGCAGUUAUUUUGCGCACAAUACCACGAAAUCUAGAUCAACAUGAAGGAAUACUGCAUUUGUUAUCUUCCUUCAUCAGCGUCGUUUUCCAAGCUAAUGUAGUCUCUUUAGGGAUAAUAACAUAUUCAAAUAAAAUAAUAUUUAUAAGUAUCCGUCUACCUCAAAAUCCGUCCUCAAAUUUUUUUCGUUUAUUUUUUUUUUUUUUCGUUUAAAAUGUACUUAUUUCAUUUGUUCACAUCCUAUUUUUUUCUGCUAUAUACUUUUUCAGGAUAACACUUUUAAAAAUAUAUUGUCUAACCACGCCAUUAUGUGUCUGCCUAUAAUAGAAACUAGACAUGUAUUUGGCGCAUUCGUACUUCUUCGUAUUACAUAUGUGAAAAAGAGGACACAACAAAACGCAGAAAUAGAUACUCACAAAUCCGUCCUCCUUCUUCCAUGUCCUCAAAUUUGUUUCGUUUGAAAUGUACUUAUUUCAUUUGUUCAUAUUUUUUCUGUUUUACACUAUUUUAGGAUAACACUUUUAAAAAUAUAUUGUCUAAUCACGCCAUUA
This is a long non-coding RNA of Stomoxys calcitrans (stable fly), 3437 nucleotides long. RefSeq lists it as uncharacterized. The record is from RefSeq and is a predicted model, not a curated record. Lineage: Eukaryota; Metazoa; Arthropoda; Insecta; Diptera; Muscidae. The transcript has 2 exons.